UUUAACAGGGAGCCUGCCCAGCAUCCCCUGCCUGCCCCUAAAAAUGGGCAUUUUCUGAGCAAAGGCUGUGGGAAGCUCAGUAAUUCAAGUGCCACUAUCUCCUUACAGACAGCAUGGAAGAAGUGACACCAGUUAUUUGCCAGAUUGAGCCAUUUCAAAGAUCUCUGCCCCAGGCAAGAGGGGAGACACAAAAGUAGAAUUCAGUAAACAGGCUUAAAGCCUCAUCAUUAAAACACUUAGUGAACCAUCUCUGCAGUUUGCUGAACUUUUCCCUGUUUAUAAAAACAAAUGAGUUUCCACAUUCCCAUCUCUGCUCAACACAAGAAGCCUGGAAGCCCCCAAACAAGAUGAUUUUCUCAGAACACAUUCUGCCCCAGGUGGAAUAAAACAAGGAGUAAAUUCCUCUACAAAAGCACAUCUCACUGAACAAAAUCUUCAAUGCAGUUUUGCAAACACAAGGGGCUCAAGUAAUACAUUUGCAUUUUGUGUCUCCCUUUCAAUCAACAGAAAAGGAGAUUGUGAGUCCUUCUGGAACCACCUGCCUCUAAAAGAGAUUUCAGAUGACACAGAGCAGCAGUGCUGUGGCUUCAAGCGCAGCUUUCCCCAGCAGAAAUAGCUGCUAGGACCAAAACAAAUGGAAAGGCAGAAGAUUAAGUAACAGAAAACAAAAAGAAAAAUCUAUAGAGAUGACGAGUUUUCAAGGAAGACAGAAAAGGAAAUAAGAGAGAGACAAAUCAAGAAAAAAAAAAAAAAGAUUAAGAGGUACAAGCAGGCAGUGAGAGGACUGAGGAAGCCCAGCCAGGCAGGGGACAAAAGGCUGCUGGAGCAGAGGGAUGCUCAGCAGCAGCUACAGGAGCCCCUCGGGAGCAGGGAAGCCCUGACUGCCAAAUUGGCACUAAAUGGAGAGGUGAAGAACUGGGGAGCACUGGCCAGAGGAAAACCACGAAUGCCACAAAGCAGAGGUGGUGGACAUGCAGUUCAUGGUUACAGUCACCAAGGACAGCACCCAUGACCAUCAGAAGUGUCAUCCUGGGGGAAGAAAAGCCCUUAAAUUGUCACUUUUUAACACUUCUGCCUGUUUCCUUGCCAGCCCAGCCUAAUGUCCUUUGAUGUGUGGCAGCCACUGGUUUCAGCAUGCAUUGUAAAGUAAGUGGAGGGGAAAAAACAACAAAAAACUACAGAAAAAGGAAUACUAUUUAAGGAGUUCAAAGGUUAAUCCUGCUGCAUCCCAUCUGGUCAGACUGGUUACCCCUGACACUGCCAGUGCACCUGUAAAUACACGGUGAAGGGACAGUAAGGUGACAAGUACCAGGGCUGGCUUGGAGUUCUCUAUGAAAGUGUUUACCCAACAGAAAACCCAGAUUGUGUAAGAUAAAAGAGGAGCAAGGAGUAUUUCCUAGCAAAAGAGGAAAAAUUGAGAGCAGGGUAUGGGUACUUUUAGAGUCAGGCUGAAUCAAUACAAUUUAGAAUGCUGCAGUUAAUUGAAAUAUUCCAUUUGGGGCAUUUCUGACAUUAAUUUUCAUUGGUUUCAUUGACCAAACACUCUGGGAAAUUGCAUUUCAAGUGCCUGAGGUCCACUUCUCCAGGGGCACAUCCCACCUCUCACAGGAUCACUUGGCCUCUGUUUUUUAGCAAAGCAAAACCUGGAGGAGUGGUCAAGCUAAGAAUUUGAGCCUCCAGGAGCACAAGGAGGGGAACACAGUGCUGAAAUUCCAGUUUCCAUAGGUGAGGCAUGGCUGGGGUAACACCUGACCCAGUCCUAAUGCAAGAUCCAAACCUGCCAGAUCCAAACACCAAAACACCCCUGACAUUAAAAACUGCAUUACAGCCUCCCAAGAUUUCCAGCUGAAUCCAAAUGCUGGUUUUGGCUUUUCCUCUGGACUUGAACUCCCUGCAGAGCUCCUCCCUCCCCACAGCUGGCGGCAUCUCCAUCUUCCUUCCUUGAAGGGCUCCCUCACCUCACCCAGCAGAGGCUCUGGUGGGAUGCAGUCAUGGACUAAGAGGUUUCAUCUCCUCUAGACAGCUUCCAGAGGCUGGGAAGAUGCACCUUGGAGCAGCACUGCCAAGCAACAGCCUGGAUAAAUCCAGCUUGUCGUGACAUCUCCCCCUCACAACGCUCCCUGUCCCCACACAGGGGACUCAGCAUGGUGGCAGCACAGCCAGCCCCACUCUGAGCCUCCAGAGCCAGCAGUGAAGGCUCCAGUCAAUCCCAGCAGGCAGAAACCAGGGCAAGAUGCUGGUGCCAGCCAAAUGUGACCCCUGGAUUUCUCCACUCAGCGCUGCAGAGCCUCAGGCAGCUCCCUCCAGCACUGAAGGAGGCUGCAAAGCCAAGCCCCAGCACCUGGAUGGCAACUCCCAGCCAGCUGAGGCUGCCCCAGGAUGCAGGGGAACUGUCUGAGUGCUGCCAAGGAGCAGGGCUUUCUGCACAGGGACUGCGAGAGGAGAACUCCCAGCAGAAAUCCCGUGCAAGCAGGAUGGAGACACCUGGAGAUCACACAUGUCCUCAGUGUGUACCUGGCUACCCCUGCAAGAGAAGAGGCACAAGGCCAGGCUGUGUGUUUUAUCACGUUUCUGCAUUUAGCUGCUCUCCCCACAGUGUCUCUGGAGGCUGAUCCUUGUUUUUUAGCUCUAGGAGCACACGAGGUGCCAGGCAGGCAGAAGGUAAGAGCCAGACACCACCAGUCCUUACCUCCCACCUCAGCUUUUGUUCUGGCAGGAUACUCACAAACAGCAGGCACAGGGAGGAAGAAAAAAAUACAAAAACCAACCCAGCCUUUGGCUCAGUUACCUUUACCUUCCUCCCCAUCAGUCACUUCAAAUCCUCGCAGAAAUUAAUGCACGGAUUAAUUUAGGCACAGUGUGCUCAGGCUUUAAUAAUCAGGAUUCUACCUGAAUGCCCCUUAGGGAAGCUCAUCCUCACACCAAGGGAGGUGCAGGAGCCUCUGGCACGGGCACACCCACGGCUCUGGUGAGAAAAGCUCAGAUUUGGGAUGGCUCUUGCCACCUUCCAGCUGAGAAGGGACACACAGUCUUGGAAAUCCAAGUGUUUGCUGAUAAAGCACAAAUCAACUGGCUGAACAUCUGUUCUGUGGGAAAUUCCAACAUUUCGGGGGGACUCGUUCCAAAUCACAACAAGGACAGAUAAAAUGUUGAUUUUUCUUGCAAGGCAAAUUCAGAACUUCUUCAAUAAGCAGCUUCUCAACAGAUUUCCUUUCAACUUUUCCCUUUCAUUUCAACUUGCAUAUUAUACAAUAGUAUUUAAUUGAUUUUUUUUUCCCUAAGGCGAUUUCAAAUACUAGCCAAAAGAAAAAAAAAUUUAAAAAAAAAAAUUUAAAAAACCAUUGCUGUCUGUCUUCUCCCCUCCCCAAAACACCACUGAAAAUUUUCACUGAAAUCAACAAUUUCCCAUUCAACUGCUGAUUUCAAAAAAUGCUUUGUUUGGGCAGAAUUUGCACAGCCAGCAGACUUUGACCAGGGAUCCCCACACAAAUGAGGACACUUUGGAUUUGCAGCAGGUGCCUCCUGGCUCUGCAGGAACUCUUGUGGCUGCUGUAGAACAUUUGGGACCAUCUUUAGCAAAUUUGGUGAAACCAUGGGUGGGGCAGAUUAGGCACCAACACUGGAAAAGUGGAGCUAAAAAAAAAAGUACCAGAAAAUGGAGGAACAAGGUAAUUUAGAGGGUCAGGAACAGUGACAAAAUCCAGAACACCUUCCCUGUGGGUGUGUCCUGUCUGUGCCAAGAAGCUCUUAACUGCAUUUUCACCAAACCUUGUUCAUUGAGAUUUCCCUCAAUAUUAUACAGAGAUGAAGGUUAAUUUUCUGCUUUGGAUAGUUCUGAUGAGGGAGAUGCUAGCCAAGGACAACAGGGGUGCUUGAAUUAAGUCAGAUUUGUGUUUAAGUCUCAUUUUAAGCAUCAGAACCAGCUCUAGAUACCUGCACUGGGAGCAAAAUCUGUUUUCAGUAGUUGCAGAAGUAGACAUUUUGCCUGUCAUGUCUCAGUUUGAGGAUGUCCCCAAAAUGGGGGUUUGCUGUGGCUGCAUUACGGACUCGGGAAACACCACUCAGCAUGGAAAACAUCUUGGCACUGUUUCCUGCCACUUUCCCUUGGUUCCUGCAUUGUAUUUUCCUUGGGAAGCUGCAGAGAAGAGGCUGCAGGGCGUUUUCCUCAUUCUUUGGCUCUCUCACACUUGGAGAUGGAUUGGGAAGCAGAGCCAGUCCUGCCCAUCACCCUGCUGCCAAGCAGGAAUCGUGUUGGAAAAUACAACGAGGCUUUUGCAGAGGAGAUUUUACCAUUCAGACAGUUUAGGGGAUGACCCAAAGCUCCCCACAGCCAGGUCCUGGUGUGGUUCCAGUGGCACAGCAGCUCUCAGCACUUCUUUCCUUUCCUGGGGCUCUGGCAAGCCCAGCCACAGGCGAACCCAAGUGGUGCAAGUGCUUUAGAAGCCCAACAGCUCCCGGCCACACAGGCUCUCUGAUAAAAUCAGAUUGUAAAAUAACUCUCGAGGUUUCAACAGGAGGUAGCUGAGCUCCUCAGAGUUUAGCACACGGGAGUAGCUCUUGGAGAGGAUGCUGAUGGCAGAGCAGGAGAGGGGGCCCUCGGUGCACAGGGAAGGGAUGGGAACACCCACGAGAGAGCUUCAGGAAAAGCAGCACUGGAGCUCCUCCAGCCCGUGCUGGGGCUGUCCCCGUGCGAGGCUAUUCAGCUGUCACUUCCCACUCAGGAAAGCUCUGAAUCAGCCAACGCCUUGAUCUGAAUACCUGCAGGGAUCCCCGAUCCUCCGAAACGGGAGGGAGGAUGCUGGCAACGUGCAGUUCACUGCAUGUAACCAAGCGAGGGUUUAGGAAUGUUAAUUGGCUGUUAACAGCCUCAAAAAAGAAAAAAAAAAAAAAAAAAAAAACACACCAAAUCUCUUACUAGGACUUGCUGAAGGGAAAACUGCACAGUGUCCAUGAAGAAAAAAGUGCAGAAUGCCAAAAUUUCCAAGCUCAGAAAAGAGUGGUACAACUCUUCAGACUGACCCCCCCUUCCAUAUAAGUUAAAAAACAUCUCCCCAGAGCUUCUGGUUCUCCUCUGUGUCUGCAAGAUGGAGUCUGGAGGGAUGGUGUGUGUUCAGAGCAGCCCUGCACUUCUUCCUUCCUCCAUCUGUCCAUUGCUCACUCCUUAAUGGCACAGUUAGCAAAUGCACUCAGCACUAAUUGUGCAGUUGCUGGUAACCUCCACAGCUGAAUCCGAUGCAGAUUUUCUAAGGAGCCCUGCUGACACUCUGCAGCUGGAAUCCGGCGAUACUUGAAGUUCACAACACAUGGAAUUUGGCAGGUGUUUAUAACCACAUACCUAAGGGUUUCACAAACAUUCCCACUCCUCUCCAAGACAAUCUGUCCAAUCUCCAGAGCAUCACAGCACAACGACACUCCAGGGAAAUACAGCAUUCCUGUUGGAUGUGCUGUGAACAAGGAAUUGGAAAAGCUUCUUUCCUUCCUUCCCCUCGUGACAGCGACAUGCUCCAGCCCUUGCUCCCACUGAAGUGGGUUUGGGAACCAAAAAAAUUGCUGGAAACUUCCAAAUCAGCAAGGUACCCUAGUAACUAUGCCAACAUCGGGUAGCUCCUGACUUGGCACACCGAGCCUGAUCUUCCCAGAAAU
Long non-coding RNA from Prinia subflava (tawny-flanked prinia), 5643 nucleotides. RefSeq lists it as uncharacterized. The record is from RefSeq and is a predicted model, not a curated record. The transcript has 3 exons. NCBI's taxonomy places the organism in Eukaryota, Metazoa, Chordata, Aves, Passeriformes, Cisticolidae.